CGCAAAUAAAACGUUUAAAAAUACAUAAUCGCUGUAUAAAACCUCCUUCUUAACACGUGUAUUUGUUAUUAUGAUAAUCUGUGACCUGAACUGUCAAAAAAGGCGCGAACGUGUUAUAGUUUUUAAUCUGUGACAUUUGAUCUGUCAAAAAGCGCGCGUAGAUGCAGGACAACGAUUGGUUCGCUUCUGCCCGGUCGUUAUGACAGCAUACGAUAAGUAACAAGUGACGUGUCACUUGAUAUUUCGAUCUGUCAAAAUGUGAAAGAGACAGAAGAUAACGUUGGAGGGGGACGGAGCAAUCGCGUGCAUGUUCCAUUUCCAUAUCCUACUUGCGGCGGAAGUGCGUAACACGCGCACCGGCACUGACGUCACGCUGCCCGAGGACACCGGAAGUGGACCGUGGCGCCGCACGCCGGAACCGGAUGUCGGCGCACGAUAUCGCCUUGCCGGGGAUUUCCACGGAAAAUCGAAACUUACGCAAAAUCUAGAUCCAAGAUCACGCUCAAAUUAUCUCCUAUCUGUGAGGAGGUGGUGAAAAUUGUCCCAAGCUUGCAUUUGUGAUGGCAACCGGUUAAUGGUGGGAGGCUAACGGUGGCUAAAAAGGCAAUAUCAGGAGAUAACAUCGAUAGCCGUCGGAACAGUUCGGCAGUUCGGCACGUAAGUAGGCUGUGAAAAUAGCCGCCCGUAACGCUGUGCGUACAUACUACGGUGAGUGAUGCAUGUAGUAAAGGAAGAAGUGUCGGUUUUGAUUUAAUUUCACUAAAUUCGAAAAAAAUAAAUGUUUUGUCACUUGCUAAAAAUUAAGUCCAAAAUGUUUAAUGACCUUUUUGAAAAUCACUGCUUUUGUGCAAUUUCACUAGAUACAUUUUACCUUAAUACCUAUAGUCAAUUUCUUUUUCAUGGCGAAGGUAUUUAAAUGUAACAAUAUUCUUUAUAAGAUAUAAUAAAGUAUAUAUAGGUAUACUAUGUUCCGAGUAUGUUUUGCAACCACGUGAAGUUUCAAGUCUUGUGUUUCAGAUAAAAUUAAUUUCUUCAAAAUUCCAUCUAAAUCAAUUGAGUUAGCCUUAAAAUUUACGAAAUGAGAAAACAAACAACUCUUUUGUCCAUUUAAGCUAUUAAUUAUAUAAAAGUCCACUAUCUCUUUAACAUUUUUUCCUUUCUUUCCUCUAGUGUAUCUAAGAAUGUACACUCACUAAUGUGAGACGGGUGUGUACAGGACAUCUGGUAGUGUCGACAGGCCCGGCAUAGUAAUAGGCCUCUUGUGACAAUCGCUCGACUUUCCAUCGGCAUUUCGUAUGCGAGUGACGCCGCGGGACUAACAAUAACCGCGCUGGACACGCUCAGCUGAACGCUGCUUUUAUUAAAACGAUAUCUUUUUUUGAUUUCCAGGUCGGUGUAAGGAAAUAGAAGAAGAUAGGCUUAGGAGGAAAACUUUUAAAUUUGGAUUUGUCAAAGGUAAAGUAAGGCGUAUUCUCUUAAAAUAAAUGUUUUUUUUUUUACCUAAACUACACUAAAACUCCCAAAGUUACCGAAUCACUCGAAUUUUCAUUUAAGACUUGUCAAAUAACUUGGUAACAUUUAUAAAAAGCUAUGAUAAAAAUCUUGUAUAAUAAAACAAAAUUGUUAACACA
Helicoverpa zea (corn earworm) is the source of this 1631-nucleotide long non-coding RNA. RefSeq lists it as uncharacterized. NCBI's taxonomy places the organism in Eukaryota, Metazoa, Arthropoda, Insecta, Lepidoptera, Noctuidae. The transcript is spliced from 3 exons. The record is from RefSeq and is a predicted model, not a curated record.